UGGGGAAUAUUGGACAAUGGGCGCAAGCCUGAUCCAGCAAUGCCGCGUGUGUGAAGAAGGCCUUAGGGUUGUAAAGCACUUUCAGCAGAGAAGAAAAGCACAGGGUCAAUACCCCUGUGUCUUGACGUAACCUGCAGAAGAAGCACCGGCUAACUCCGUGCCAGCAGCCGCGGUAAUACGGAGGGUGCAAGCGUUAAUCGGAAUUACUGGGCGUAAAGCGCGCGUAGGCGGUUUGGCAAGUCGGAUGUGA
Molecule: ribosomal RNA, 250 nt
Filed under: uncultured bacterium
Lineage: Bacteria
Description: partial 16S ribosomal RNA
Rfam family: Bacterial small subunit ribosomal RNA
Source: RNAcentral